GCAGCGGCACUGAUUGUUGUGAUUCAUGCAUGGGUCAUGUUCAUGCACAUGAGAGCUAUUCAUCGUGGUGAGAGACCUGACAUCUCUUAUGCUCCAAUGCUUAUGCGGGAGCAACAGAGGAUCACCAAUCUGAACUACAUCUACAACUGCAACAACACAAAGGCCCUGUGGAUGCUUCAAAUGAAAAGAGCACCAUUUGCCAGACUUGUCCAAACCUUCAGGAGCGGGGUGCUGCUACAAGAUAGCAUCGACACCAGUGUGGAAGAGCAAGUGGCCAUGUUCCUCCGUGUUGUUGGCCAUAAUCAGAGGUUCAGGGUUAUACACAACACGUUCAGGAGAUCAAUGGAGACCAUCUCAAGGUACUUCAAGCAAGUGCUCUAUGCUAUUGGGGAGCUCAGAGGAGAGAUGAUCAAGUAAUCAACCGGCCGGACUCCUACUAAGAUUCGCACCAGCCCAAGAUGGUGUUCAUACUUCAAGGUGAGCACUAAGAGUAUGUGCUUCAUGGCUUGA
Molecule: ribosomal RNA, 510 nt
Filed under: Triticum aestivum (bread wheat)
Lineage: Eukaryota; Viridiplantae; Streptophyta; Magnoliopsida; Poales; Poaceae
Description: partial small subunit ribosomal RNA
Source: RNAcentral